This 73-nucleotide transfer RNA is filed under the name Nematostella vectensis (starlet sea anemone). It matches the Rfam family "tRNA". Rfam says of the family: Transfer RNA (tRNA) molecules are approximately 80 nucleotides in length. Their secondary structure includes four short double-helical elements and three loops (D, anti-codon, and T loops). Lineage: Eukaryota; Metazoa; Cnidaria; Anthozoa; Actiniaria; Edwardsiidae. The record is from Rfam by way of RNAcentral.
GGGGAUGUAGCUUAGUUGUAGAGCGUUUGCUUUGCAUGCAGAAGGCACGGGGGGUCGAUCCCCCGCAUCUCCA